CGCGACGGUGAGUAACACGUGACUAACCUACCCUCAAGUGGGGAAUAACCUAGAGAAAUCUGGGCUAAUACCGCAUAACACUUACGAGUCAAAGCAGCAAUGCGCUUGAGGAGGGGGUCGCGGCAGAUUAGCUAGUUGGCGGGGUAAUGGCCCACCAAGGCAAUGAUCUGUAUCCGGCCUGAGAGGGCGCACGGACACACUGGAACUGAAACACGGUCCAG
This 221-nucleotide ribosomal RNA is filed under the name uncultured bacterium. RNAcentral describes it as "partial 16S ribosomal RNA". It matches the Rfam family "Bacterial small subunit ribosomal RNA", at positions 105 to 334 of the family's 1533-position model. The record is from RNAcentral.